GAUGAAGAACGUAGCGAAAUGCGAUAAGUAAUGUGAAUUGCAGAAUUCCGUGAAUCAUCGAAUCUUUGAACGCACAUUGCGCCCCCUGGCAUUCCGGGGGGCAUGCCCGUCCGAGCGUCAUUUCUGCCCUCAAGCACGGCUUGUGUGUUGGGUGUGGUCCCCCCGGGGACCUGCCCGAAAGGCAGCGGCGACGUCCGUCUGGUCCUCGAGCGUAUGGGGCUCUGUCACUCGCUCGGGAAGGACCUGCGGGGGUUGGUCACCACUAUAUUUUACCACGGUUGACCUCGGAUCAGGUAGGAGUUACCCGCUGAACUUAAGCAUAUCAAUAAGCGGAGGA
Molecule: unclassified non-coding RNA, 337 nt
Filed under: soil metagenome
Description: partial contains 5.8S ribosomal RNA, internal transcribed spacer 2, and large subunit ribosomal RNA
Rfam family: 5.8S ribosomal RNA (bases 1-120)
Source: RNAcentral